This 79-nucleotide transfer RNA is filed under the name Clostridium botulinum D str. 1873. RNAcentral describes it as "tRNA-Arg". It matches the Rfam family "tRNA". Rfam says of the family: Transfer RNA (tRNA) molecules are approximately 80 nucleotides in length. Their secondary structure includes four short double-helical elements and three loops (D, anti-codon, and T loops). Further hydrogen bonds mediate the characteristic L-shaped molecular structure. tRNAs have two regions of fundamental functional importance: the anti-codon, which is responsible for specific mRNA codon recognition, and the 3' end, to which the tRNAs corresponding amino acid is attached (by aminoacyl-tRNA synthetases). tRNAs cope with the degeneracy of the genetic code in two manners: having more than one tRNA (with a specific anti-codon) for a particular amino acid; and 'wobble' base-pairing, i.e. permitting non-standard base-pairing at the 3rd anti-codon position. Lineage: Bacteria; Bacillati; Bacillota; Clostridia; Eubacteriales; Clostridiaceae. The record is from RNAcentral.
UGCGCUUAUAGCUCAGCUGGAUAGAGUGACGGACUUCGAAUCCGGAGGUCACAGGUUCAAAUCCUGUUAGGCGCACCAU